Molecule: long non-coding RNA, 874 nt
Filed under: Equus caballus (horse)
Lineage: Eukaryota; Metazoa; Chordata; Mammalia; Perissodactyla; Equidae
Description: lncRNA (ENSECAG00000048683.1)
Source: RNAcentral
AAAGAGAAGGAACCAAUUUAAAGUACAAUACAAAACCAACUAAAAGGUAAGACUGUUGUUCAAUGCACUUGUAAUUAAUUAAUCACUGCAAUUGAUCAUUAACUUCUGUUCUGAGCUUCUUCACCAACUGAGGCUUAGAAGAAAGUUAACAACUCUGAUGAGGCAAACACUGUGGGCCCAGAGCUCCGGGAAGCCGUUCACGAGAAGGAUAGCCAAGUCAUGCAAUCUCUCUGGGCCUCUGUCUCCUUCUCUCAGUGAAAGGACAGCUUGUAUUCUGUGAACACCGUGGUCUCCACCACAGCUACCAUUCUGUGAUUCAGUAGGGCCCAGAAAAGCAAGCCAGUUCCCCAGGGUUUAUCAACUCAUUCUGCCUCCUCACAUUCCUGUAUACCUAUGGGAGGUUUUAGGGGCCAGGCUGGGAAGUGGAAAGUCUGUUUCCUCCCGUAUACUAUUGCCCAGAAUUCAGUAAUAUUCUCCUCUCAUCUGCAAGGAAGUCUGGGAAGUCGAGUUCAGCCGUGGACCCCAGAAGAGAGAAAAAGUUUGUUGGUCCUGGACUCGAAAGAAAACUGACAAGAAAAGAAAGAUGUACGGCUAAUGUUGAGGCACCACAGCUUCCUAAUGAUUACCACAAGAAGAAAUUAUGCCCGUGUUCUUGGACCUCCCAUCUUUAGACUCAGCUAUUUCCACCAGAAGAAGUAUAUGGCAUUGUCUACUUAUGUGAAGAAAGCAGCCAAGGGAAAAGCGAAAAGCUUGCUGACCACGAAGUAUUUUAAAGGAGGAAAGAAAGGGUAGUGGGUAAAGAAGGAACAGAAGCUGUCCAAGAGACCAGACAACAAAGUGUAUUUAUAUUUUAGAAAUGAUGCUAUUGCAGAUA